GACUGGGUUUGCUGUGCUUGUGAGUCCUCUGGAAGUAUUACAGGACCCUGUGAUGAAGCCUACUGAUUUUGCAUUUCAAGGUCCCAUCCUGGUAACCCAGAGCAGUGGCCAAGGAGUUGUGGUGAGUCAGGGAGGUAGGGAGGAGGAGUGAGAGUCCACUCAAGUUUCAGCAAUGCCAUGUCACCCUUUCUCCACUUAAUCUAGGUGUACCCUGAGAUGAUGCUGUCGGCCUCCAAGCACGCCUGCGGUGUGUGGCCCGACCAUUCUGAGGAGAAUGGUGAGUAGCAGAAUUGUCAGGUUUUGGCCAUUGUGCUGUUACGGUUGUGCACUGAUGUUUGGUUUUCUUUGUCUUGGCAGACCAAGAGAGAACAGUCUGGUGACAACUGGAGUUUCCCAGACAGGCAGGAGGCCUCGUUCUGCACCCGAUGGAGAUUUGGAUCCCCAGAUAUAUGCCAGAUAAGUCAAGGGCUACAACCCACAGAGGGCAUGGAAGCGAGGUGCCAGGUUGGGAGUCCCCAGGAGGGGUUUUUGAGUCAGUUUUGGAUACGGGGAUGUCUAAGAAGCGUCUCCUUAGGCCAGCUGAAGGGAAAGUGUCUGUUUUGAUCACAGUGCUGAGGUGCGCAGGGCAGAGCAGUUCCGGUGUGUGUUCUGUCACUUGUCUCUGGUGCACUCUGUGUUCUUUGGGUCUCUCAGUCCUUUCUUCUCAUCAAAAGCUCUCCCUCCCUGUUCUGUCUCCUGGUUUGUCAUGUCCUGUCCUGUGUCACGGGUGUCUGCACAUAUUUGUACCGGAGCUGCUCUGCCCUGCUGCAUAGCCUGUAAUAGCACAAGUCCUGGGGACUUGAAAUUGGUAAUGCAGGGUGUAGCUGGGCUCCAGGUUGUGUUAGGAGAUUGACAUAACAUGCUUGGUACUGUUAAGUUGUCCUGCAGCAUUUUGACAUUAGUUCUAACUUCCUUUCAGAUGCAGACAGUUCAAAUCAGUGCCAGAGGGCCACAGUCCUGGGUGGAGAACUUCCCAUGAGCUGGUCAGUCAUUGUUUGCAUUUACAGGGGAAGCAGCCUAAGUGGUGACUCUGUUACAGCGGUGUUCUUUGCCUUUAUUUUUAGGAGGUCCAGGCAGAUAGCAGCAGUCAAGGCCCAGUGUGCCAGGGAAUCCACUGGGAGUUUGCAUAUCCCCUGUCAGCAGCUGGCUGAUGGACUGGGUUUGCUGUGCUUGUGAGUCCUCUGGAAGUAUUACAGGACCCUGUGAUGAAGCCUACUGAUUUUGCAUUUCAAGGUCCCAUCCUGGUAACCCAGAGCAGUGGCCAAGGAGUUGUGGUGAGUCAGGGAGGUAGGGAGGAGGAGUGAGAGUCCACUCAAGUUUCAGCAAUGCCAUGUCACCCUUUCUCCACUUAAUCUAGGUGUACCCUGAGAUGAUGCUGUCGGCCUCCAAGCACGCCUGCGGUGUGUGGCCCGACCAUUCUGAGGAGAAUGGUGAGUAGCAGAAUUGUCAGGUUUUGGCCAUUGUGCUGUUACGGUUGUGCACUGAUGUUUGGUUUUCUUUGUCUUGGCAGACCAAGAGAGAACAGUCUGGUGACAACUGGAGUUUCCCAGACAGGCAGGAGGCCUCGUUCUGCACCCGAUGGAGAUUUGGAUCCCCAGAUAUAUGCCAGAUAAGUCAAGGGCUACAACCCACAGAGGGCAUGGAAGCGAGGUGCCAGGUUGGGAGUCCCCAGGAGGGGUUUUUGAGUCAGUUUUGGAUACGGGGAUGUCUAAGAAGCGUCUCCUUAGGCCAGCUGAAGGGAAAGUGUCUGUUUUGAUCUCAGUGCUGAGGUGCGCAGGGCAGAGCA
Molecule: non-coding RNA, 1825 nt
Organism: Taeniopygia guttata (zebra finch)
Lineage: Eukaryota; Metazoa; Chordata; Aves; Passeriformes; Estrildidae
Source: RefSeq, a predicted model, not a curated record